This 440-nucleotide ribosomal RNA is filed under the name uncultured bacterium. Its description in RNAcentral is "partial 16S ribosomal RNA". It matches the Rfam family "Bacterial small subunit ribosomal RNA", at positions 338 to 795 of the family's 1533-position model. The record is from RNAcentral.
CCUACGGGAGGCAGCAGUGGGGAAUAUUGCACAAUGGGGGAAACCCUGAUGCAGCGACGCCGCGUGAGUGAAGAAGUACUUCGUUAUGUAAAGCUCUAUCAGCCGGGAAGAAAAUGACGCUACCUGAGUAAGAAGCCCCGGCCAACUACGUGCCAGCAGCCGCGGUAACACGUCGGGGGCAAGCGUUAUCCGGAUUUACUGGGCGUAAGGGGAGUGUAGACGGGAGUGCAAGUCUGGAGUGAAAGGCGGGGGUUCAACCCCCGGACUGCUCUGGAAACUGUACGGCUGGAGUGCAGGAGAGGUAAGUGGAAUUCCUGGUGUAGCGGUGAAAUGCAUAGAUAUUAGGAGGAACACCAGUGGCGAAGGCAGCUUACUGGACUGUAACUGACGUUGAGGCACGAAAGCGUGGGGAGCAAACAGGAUUAGAUACCCCUGUAGUC